This 254-nucleotide ribosomal RNA is filed under the name uncultured bacterium. Its description in RNAcentral is "partial 16S ribosomal RNA". It matches the Rfam family "Bacterial small subunit ribosomal RNA", at positions 524 to 776 of the family's 1533-position model. The record is from RNAcentral.
UACGUAGGGCGCAAGCGUUGUCCGGGAAUUAUUGGGCGUAAAGAGCUCGUAGGCGGCUGUCACGUCGGGUGUGAAAGCCCGGGGCUUAACCCCGGGUCUGCAUUCGAUACGGGCUAGCUAGAGUGUGGUAGGGGAGAUCGGAAUUCCUGGUGUAGCGGUGAAAAUGCGCAGAUAUCAGGAGGAACACCGGUGCGGAAGGCGGAUCUCUGGGCCAUUACUGACGCUGAGGAGCGAAAGCGUGGGGAGCGAACAGG